This 501-nucleotide ribosomal RNA is filed under the name uncultured bacterium. RNAcentral describes it as "bacterial SSU rRNA". It matches the Rfam family "Bacterial small subunit ribosomal RNA", at positions 28 to 516 of the family's 1533-position model. The record is from RNAcentral.
GAUGAACGCUAGCUACAGGCUUAACACAUGCAAGUCGAGGGGAAACGACAUCGAAAGCUUGCUUUUGAUGGGCGUCGACCGGCGCACGGGUGAGUAACGCGUAUCCAACCUGCCCACCACUUGGGGAUAACCUUGCGAAAGUAAGACUAAUACCCAAUGACGUCUCUAGAAGACAUCUGAAAGAGAUUAAAGAUUUAUCGGUGAUGGAUGGGGAUGCGUCUGAUUAGCUUGUUGGCGGGGUAACGGCCCACCAAGGCGACGAUCAGUAGGGGUUCUGAGAGGAAGGUCCCCCACAUUGGAACUGAGACACGGUCCAAACUCCUACGGGAGGCAGCAGUGAGGAAUAUUGGUCAAUGGACGAGAGUCUGAACCAGCCAAGUAGCGUGCAGGAUGACGGCCCUAUGGGUUGUAAACUGCUUUUAUAAGGGAAUAAAGUGAGAGUCGUGACUCUUUUUGCAUGUACCUUAUGAAUAAGGACCGGCUAAUUCCGUGCCAGCAGCC